AUACUUACCUUCACCGGAGAUACCGUGAUACACGAAGGCGGUUCUCCCGGGGCGAGGGCUCACCAUUGCACUCCCGGGGCGCUGACCCUGCGUUAACCCAAAUGUGGUUAAUCGAGUGCGCAAUUUUUGUAGCGGGGGACUGCUUCGCGCUAUCCCCCU
This is a small nuclear RNA of Penaeus indicus, 159 nucleotides long. RefSeq annotates it as U1 spliceosomal RNA. The transcript has a single exon. The record is from RefSeq and is a predicted model, not a curated record. NCBI's taxonomy places the organism in Eukaryota, Metazoa, Arthropoda, Malacostraca, Decapoda, Penaeidae.